RNAcentral lists this ribosomal RNA (342 nucleotides) under Triticum aestivum (bread wheat). RNAcentral's name for it is "partial small subunit ribosomal RNA". Lineage: Eukaryota; Viridiplantae; Streptophyta; Magnoliopsida; Poales; Poaceae. The record is from RNAcentral.
AUGGAUUUAAAAUUGAUGGAGCAUCAUGAGCAUCAUUGCCCAACUUAUGAGAGACGCUUUAAUUGCCUGAUUCCACCGCCACAAGGCUAUAAGGUCAGCAGACUGUCCUUUCUUUCAUUUUUUUUGCCAUCUCCUCACCUUAAUUUGAUUAUGUCUCUAAGCUACAAAGUUGCUGGAGUUGGGUCACAUCGUAAGGGAAUGAUGAUUUUCAUCUUGGAGCUUGACCGUACCCUCUAUUUUCUUCCAAUAAUCAGCUCGGCUCCGGGCGUUUACCUGCAACCUUUUUUCGUAAGUCAAGAUAGCUCCUGUUGUCUGGUGCUCGUAUGCUGGGAUAGACACUGA